UUAAGAAGUGUUAAUGGUGAGUC
RNAcentral lists this non-coding RNA (23 nucleotides) under Arabidopsis thaliana (thale cress). The record is from RNAcentral. Lineage: Eukaryota; Viridiplantae; Streptophyta; Magnoliopsida; Brassicales; Brassicaceae.